This is an RNA transcript of Sorex fumeus (smoky shrew), 3704 nucleotides long. It is a transcript of the gene named armadillo like helical domain containing 3, with no coding region annotated. The record is from RefSeq and is a predicted model, not a curated record. The transcript has 25 exons. Lineage: Eukaryota; Metazoa; Chordata; Mammalia; Eulipotyphla; Soricidae.
CCUCACGCGGGCGGGCUUUAGGACCCGGCCGGGCACGGCGGGCGGGGAAGGGGUCGCGCCGUGGGGGGGCGGGGGGAGAGCUCGGGCGCGCGUCCGGGAUCCUGAAGCGGCGGCGGCGGGGGCGACGCGAGCGAGAGGCCCCGGAGCGAGAGGCGCGGCAGGUGGAGGAGGAGCCCGAGCCUGGAUUCUCUAACCAUGUCACAGGUAGAGAAACGAGGGGGUUUGCUCCGGAAAUCUUCAGCAUCCAAAAAACCAUUGAAGGAAAAAGUCGUGUUGAUGUAUGAUGAAAUCUUCAUGGCGGAGGACCCCAGUAAGUGCACUCCUCGAUUUUGGGAGGAACUCUUCCUCAUGAAGGUGAAUUUAGAGUACCUGGAAGGCAAGCUGGAAUCUCUUGAUGGUGAGGAGUUAAUGAAGAUCAAGGACAAUAUUAAUUGCUUGUUUCAACGCUGCAUCCAGGCUUUGGGAGAAGAGCAUCCGAUUCGAGUUGUCAAUGCUUUACAGACCUUGUGUGCACUUAUUCGAGGAGUCCAUCAGAAGAAUAAAUCUACCUCUGGGUUUGACAUUAUCAACAUGUUGAUGGGCUUUGACAAGGCGGAGCUGUGCAUGAAGAACUUGAUGGAGAGCUUGGAUUCAUUGCUUUGCGCAGAAGGUUCUGAAAGUCUGAAGAGUUUAUGUUUGAAACUUCUUCUUUGCUUAGUGACUGUGACAGAUAACAUCAGUCAGAACACUAUCCUGGAGUAUGUAAUGAUCAACAGCAUAUUUGAAGCAAUUUUACAAAUACUUUCCCACCCUCCAAGUCGCAGGGAACAUGGGUAUGAUGCUGUUGUCCUCUUGGCAUUGCUGGUGAACUACAGAAAAUAUGAGUCUGUGAAUCCAUACAUUGUGAAACUAUCCAUUGUGGAUGAUGAGGCUACGCUCAAUGGAAUGGGACUGGUGAUUGCUCAGGCUUUAUCUGAGUAUAAUAGGCAGUAUAAAGACAAAGAAGAAGAACAUCAGAGCGGGUUUUUCUCUGCUUUAACAAAUAUGGUGGGCAGCAUGUUCAUAGCAGAUGCCCAUGAGAAGAUCUCAGUACAAACCAAUGAAGCUAUCCUUCUGGCACUUUACGAAGCUGUUCAUUUAAAUCGCAACUUCAUCACGGUGUUAGCCCAGAAUCACCCAGAAAUGGGCUUGGUGACAACCCCUGUCAGUCCUGCCCCAACAACUCCUGUCACACCACUUGGGACCACGCCACCCUCUUCUGAUGUUAUAAGUUCUGUGGAACUCCCACUGGAUGCAGAUGUACAGACCAGUAAUCUACUGAUAACCUUCCUGAAGUAUAGCUCAAUUGUCAUGCAGGACACCAAAGAUGAGCACCGACUUCACAGUGGCAAACUUUGUCUGAUUAUCCUUACUUGUAUUGCAGAGGAUCAGUAUGCUAAUGCAUUUUUGCACGAUGACAACAUGAAUUUUCGAGUAAACUUGCAUAGAAUGCCUAUGAGACACAGAAAGAAGGCAGCAGACAAGAACCUCCCCUGUCGCCCAUUAGUAUGUGCAGUAUUGGACUUGAUGGUAGAGUUUAUUGUAACACACAUGAUGAAGGAGUUUCCUAUGGAUCUCUAUGUACGCUGCAUUCAGGUAGUGCAUAAACUGCUUUGCUAUCAGAAGAAGUGUAGAGUACGCCUGCAUUACACCUGGCGGGAACUCUGGUCAGCUUUGAUAAAUUUGCUGAAGUUCCUUAUGUCAAAUGAGACCGUCCUUUUGGCAAAACACAACAUUUUUACCUUGGCCCUUAUGAUUGUGAACCUAUUCAAUAUGUUUAUUACAUACGGCGACACCUUCCUGCCCACCCCUAGCAGCUAUGAUGAGCUCUACUAUGAAAUUAUUCGCAUGCACCAGAGCUUUGACAAUCUGUACUCCAUGGUUCUGAGGCUUUCUACCAAUGCAGGCCAGUGGAAAGAAGCAGCUAGCAAGGUGACCCAUGCAUUGGUUAAUAUCAGGUGCUGGAGGUGGUGCGCACCAACUAUGACACCCUCACCCUGAAGCUGCAGGACGGCCUGGAUCAGUACGAGCGCUACUCGGAGCAGCACAAGGAAGCUGCCUUCUUCAAAGAGCUGGUCCGAUCCAUUAGCACCAACGUCCGGAGGAACUUGGCCUUCCACACGCUCAGCCAGGAAGUCCUGCUCAAGGAGUUCUCCACUAUCUCCUGAGACCACACUGCACUGACCGGACACUGACUGUCCUUACCCACCAGGGGGCUGUCCCCAAGGCUGGAGAAAACAGACACUGAGUCUGUCAGGAUGGCAUCAGAGAUUGUACAGCAGGGACCAGGAGGGGCUGACCAGGACUGUCCUAACGUGGGGAGGGCUGGGGGGGGCAUAGGGAGAAGCUGUCAAGAAUGUAGGAGCAGGGGCUGGAACCAUAGCACAGUGGGUAGGGCAUUUGCCUUGAACGCGGCUGACCUGAGUUUGAUCCCCAGCAUCCCAUAGGGUCCCCUGAGCACCGCCAGGAGUAAUUCCUGAGUGCAGAGCCAGGAGUAACCUCUGAGCAUUGCCGGGUGUGACCCAAAAAGCCAAAAAAAAAAAAAAAAGAAUGUGGGGGCUUCUAGAAUGUCUGCCUUGGCACUCCCACACAUUUCCAGUUGAAGUAACAAGUUGUAGCUACUGAUUAAUUUUUAGAAGCUGUUGGGACAGACCUUAGGGUGAAGCCAAGACCCUGAAGGUUGAUGACUUGUUUUCCCAAAGCUUCUGAAAACUCUCUUCGAUGCAGCUUCCUCUGGGUCGGAAUUGCGCUGAGCUGUCCCUCGAGGCCCCCUGUCCUGCCUUCAGGAGGACCCUGAGCUCAGGUGUCGGGCGUGGUGGGAGAGGGCACCUCUUUUCCUCUUUUCUAAACCCUGUGCUGACUUCUGGAAGGCAGGAGGUUAGAACCCACGGGGUGUGCUGCUGUCUGCCACCACUUUUUGGACUCAAUCCUCGGCCCCAGGAGCUUGCCACGGACCCCCUCAGCACUCCAGAGUCACCUCCAUAGCUUCUACUCAAGUCUGUUCUAAACUGUCUUUAAGGAUGCGUGUGAAAUAAACAUUGACGGGUUUUCUGGAUCUCUCAGGUGCCUGCUUCGCUGGUUCCCUUUCCAGCAGCGUCCCCACCUCGAGCCGCCCCCUCCUCUGGAAGCCUCUCCUGCCGCUGUCGAGUUCUCCUCCACGUGUGCCACCCCCUCACCCGGCUGUUGUUUACAUCCAGCCUGCCGAGAGUUUCCUCUGGGGAGGAGCGUGUUCCUGCUGUGGCCUGGCACUGGAGGGAGAGGACUGCCCGGGAGGGGCAUCUCCAUCUGAGAUCCCCGAGCGGCCCUCCUGUCCACCUCUCCUGAGGAAGGGGAGCUGGCCUGUGGGUCCUCCUUGGGCCUGCUGUGGUCCUUCUCACCCCACACCUGCUCUGAGAUCCUCUUUUGAAAGCACUUUCAAAAGUCCUUGAGGGCAGCCCAGGGCAGACCUGGGAGUCGAUACGGGACUCCAGCGGAGAGCUGUAGCCUCUGGUCUACUGGGGGGUGCUUGCUCUCCCUGGCCCGGAGUUCCGGCUCCAGCGACUCACCAGCACGCUGCCACCAACAGAGGCAGAUGGGGCUGGGUCAUCUCCGAUCACCAGAAACUGCUGGGCCUGGGCAAGCAGUGUUUCCACCGAAACUGGUGAUCAGCAACCCGAGGGCGGCUGGCAAGUUGAAGUUAUUAAAAA